AUGCUGUCUGUGAGCUCGCCGAGGAUGCACAUGAGCCGGAACGCCGUGGAUUUGGGCCUGCUGGCCGCCUGCCGCUGCCGCCGCUGGGCCGCGCGCCCGGCGCCCAGGCGGCGCGCGCCAUGUGUUUGUUUCGUGGCCGCACCCAGCCAGACAGGUCUCGCGGCGAUCGACGUGCCGGCGGCUGAGACCAUUGCCAGCGCGGCGGCCGGGGCGGCGAGGCUCCCCGAGCGCGUGUCCAUCGCUUCGCUCUUGGAUGUCGUCUCGGAUGACCUGCUCAAGCUCAACAACAACCUCAAAUCGCUUAUUGGUGCAGAAAAUCCAGUUUUAGUAUCUGCCGCAGAACAAAUUUUUGGUGCUGGUGGAAAGAGAUUAAGACCAGCAUUGGUUUUUCUGGUGUCCAGAGCAACAGCGGAAGUAGCUGGCUUGUCGGAGCUAACUACAGAACAUAAACGCUUGGCAGAGAUCAUAGAAAUGAUUCACACUGCGAGUUUAAUACAUGAUGAUGUCAUAGAUGAUAGUGGAAUGCGCAGAGGGAAAGAAACCAUCCAUCAGCUGUACGGAACACGGAUAGCGGUGCUUGCUGGCGAUUUUAUGUUUGCACAAUCUUCUUGGUUUCUCGCAAACCUAGAGAACAUUGAGGUUAUAAAGCUCAUCAGCCAGGUGAUCAAGGACUUUGCUAGUGGGGAGAUAAAGCAGCAAUCGACCCUGUUCGACUGCGACGUCACCCUGGACGACUACCUGCUCAAGAGCUACUACAAGACGGCCUCCCUGCUCGCUUCAAGCACGAGGUCCGCGGCCAUAUUCAGCGGGGUGAGCACCGCAGUAUGCGAGCAGAUGUACGAGUACGGCAGGAACCUGGGGCUGUCGUUCCAGGUGGUGGACGACAUCCUCGACUUCACGCAGUCGGCGGAGCAGCUGGGCAAGCCGGCGGGGAGCGACCUGGCCAAGGGGAACCUGACGGCCCCGGUCAUCUUCGCGCUGCAGGAGUCGCCGGAGCUGAGGGAGAUCAUCGACUCGGAGUUCUGCGACACGGGCUCGCUGUCGGCUGCCAUGGAGCUGGUACAUAAAAGCGGCGGGAUACGGCGGGCGCAGGAGCUGGCCAAGGAGAAGGGCGACCUGGCGCUGCAGAACCUGCAGUGCCUCCCCAGGAGCCAUUUCAGGACCGCCCUUGAGAACAUGGUGAAGUACAACCUUGAGAGGAUCGACUAG
Molecule: ribosomal RNA, 1209 nt
Filed under: Triticum aestivum (bread wheat)
Lineage: Eukaryota; Viridiplantae; Streptophyta; Magnoliopsida; Poales; Poaceae
Description: partial small subunit ribosomal RNA
Source: RNAcentral